Molecule: ribosomal RNA, 497 nt
Filed under: uncultured bacterium
Lineage: Bacteria
Description: partial 16S ribosomal RNA
Rfam family: Bacterial small subunit ribosomal RNA
Source: RNAcentral
GAUGAACGCUGGCGGCGUGCCUAAUACAUGCAAGUCGAGCGGACGGACGAGGAGUUUGCUUCUCUGAUGUUAGCGGCGGGCGGGUGAGUAACACGUGGAUAACCUCCCUAUAAGAGUGGGAUAACUUCGGGAAACGGGCGCUAAUCGCGGAGAAUCUUUUGAACCGCAGGGUGGAAUGGUGAAAGACGGUCUUGCUGUCAGUAAUAGCUGGAUCUGCGCUGCAUUAGCUAGUUGUUAAGGUAACGGCUUACCAAGGGAACUAUGCGUAGCCGACCUGAUAGGGUGGUCGGCCACCCUGGAACUGAGACGCGGUCCAGACUCCUACGGGAGGGAGCAGUAGGGAAUCGUCCGCAAUGGGCGAAAGCCUUACGGAGCGACGCCGCGUGAGUGAUGAAGGUCCUCGGAUCGUAAAACUCUGUUAUUAGUUAAGAACAUAUGCGUAAGUAACUGAGGACAGCUUGACGGUACUUAAUCAGAAAGCCCCGGCUAACUACGUG